CCUACGGGAGGCAGCAGUGAGGAAUAUUGGACAAUGGGCGCAAGCCUGAUCCAGCCAUGCCGCGUGCAGGAAGACGGUCCUAUGGAUUGUAAACUGCUUUUAUACAGGAAGAAACACCUCUACGUGUAGAGACUUGACGGUACUGUAUGAAUAAGCAUCGGCUAACUCCGUGCCAGCAGCCGCGGUAAUACGGAGGAUGCAAGCGUUAUCCGGAAUCAUUGGGUUUAAAGGGUCCGUAGGCGGUUUAAUAAGUCAGUGGUGAAAGCCCAUCGCUCAACGAUGGAACGGCCAUUGAUACUGUUAAACUUGAAUUAUUAGGAAGUAACUAGAAUAUGUAGUGUAGCGGUGAAAUGCUUAGAGAUUACAUGGAAUACCAAUUGCGAAGGCAGGUUACUACUAAUAUAUUGACGCUGAUGGACGAAAGCGUGGGGAGCGAACAGGAUUAGAUACCCUGGUAGUCCACGCCGUAAACGAUGGAUACUAGCUGUUCGGAGNAUNUNAGUGNGUAGAGAAGAGAGUAAGUAUACCACCNCGGAGGUACGUUCGCGAGAAGAGAACGUACGAAGAAAGUUAGUACGGACGUAGAGACGAGCGACGGACGACGACGAGGGAGGAGG
RNAcentral lists this ribosomal RNA (617 nucleotides) under uncultured bacterium. RNAcentral describes it as "bacterial SSU rRNA". The stretch from base 1 to 531 matches the Rfam family "Bacterial small subunit ribosomal RNA", at positions 338 to 873 of the family's 1533-position model. The record is from RNAcentral.